UACGAAGGGGGCUAGCGGUGUUCGGAAUCACUGGGCGUAAAGCGCACGUAGGCGGAUUUGUUAGUCAGGGGUGAAAUCCCGGGGCUCAACCUCGGAACUGUCUUUGAUACUGCAGAUCUAGAGUCCGGAAGAGGUGAGUGGAAUUCCUAGUGUAAAGGGGAAAUUCGUAGAUAUUAGGAAGAACACCAGUGGCGAAGGCGGCUCACUGGACCGGUACUGACGCUGAGGUGCGUAAGAGUAGGGAGCAAACAGG
RNAcentral lists this ribosomal RNA (253 nucleotides) under uncultured bacterium. Its description in RNAcentral is "partial 16S ribosomal RNA". It matches the Rfam family "Bacterial small subunit ribosomal RNA", at positions 524 to 776 of the family's 1533-position model. The record is from RNAcentral.